This 334-nucleotide long non-coding RNA is filed under the name Struthio camelus australis. Its description in RNAcentral is "lncRNA (ENSSCUG00000017417.1)". The record is from RNAcentral. Lineage: Eukaryota; Metazoa; Chordata; Aves; Struthioniformes; Struthionidae.
UGUUUUUUUUUUUUUUUUUCCUUUUACAUGAAAAUUGAAAAGUGUUCAUGGCUUUAGCAACAGGCUUUUGGAGGGUUUUGUGUGAGGCUUUUCAUAUGAUAAUUGGUAGAUUCUAUGGCAACCAUUGAAAAAGAAGCCCUGAAAACAAAAGCUGCAGCAGAAGAGGAUCAGUACAUAUUCACUAUGUCUGCGGGAAUAACGGCAGAGACUCACUCUUCAGAAAGACACCUGAUCUCAAGACCCAUUGGAUGUUACGGAUUUCACUGACAGCACAGUCCUUGAUAAGCUUGAUAACUCCUAUCACAAUAAAAUCAGUGGGAAAAAAUAACUGCCA